Molecule: ribosomal RNA, 253 nt
Filed under: uncultured bacterium
Lineage: Bacteria
Description: partial 16S ribosomal RNA
Rfam family: Bacterial small subunit ribosomal RNA
Source: RNAcentral
UACGGGGGGGGCAAGCGUUGUUCGGAAUUACUGGGCGUAAAGGGCUCGUAGGCGGCUAACUAAGUCAGACGUGAAAUCCCCAGGCUUAACCUGGGAACUGCGUCUGAUACUGGAUGGCUUGAGAUUGGGAGAGGGAUGCGGAAUUCCAGGUGUAGCGGUGAAAUGCGUAGAUAUCUGGAGGAACACCGGUGGCGAAGGCGACAGCCUGGACCAACACUGACGCUGAAGAGCGAAAGCCAGGGGAGCAAACGGG